UAAUAAUGACCCUUUAAACAGCAUGGAGUCGUGCGCAUGCGCAGUGCAGGUUGGAUUGUUGCAGCUCGAGACAGGGCGGCCCGUUACUAAGCACUGCUGCACCGCGCGUGACGACAGCCAACGGCCGUUGACACAAUCAAGACUGCCGGCUUGGAGAACAACACACGGAAUACAGUAAAAGAUGGCAGUGAAUGUUUAUGCUACAUCUGUGUCCAUUGAGAACCUCAGCCGGCAUGACAUGCUGGCAUGGGUCAACGAUUCUUUGCAUCUCACCUACACCAAGAUUGAACAGCUCUGUUCAGGAGCGGCAUAUUGCCAGUUCAUGGACAUGUUGUUUCCAGGCUGCAUCCUGUUGAAGAAGGUCAAAUUUCAAGCCAAGCUGGAGCAUGAAUUUAUACACAACUUCAAAGUUCUUCAGGCAGCUUUUAAAAGGAUGAGUGUCGACAAAAUAAUUCCUGUAGAGAAGCUUGUAAAAGGAAAGUUUCAGGACAACUUUGAAUUUGUGCAGUGGUUCAAGAAAUUCUUUGAUGCCAACUAUGAUGGGAAGGAGUAUGACCCUUUACUAGCCAGACAGGGGCAGGAUGUAGCCCCUCCCCCCAACCCAGGUGAUCACUUUAUCCACAAACCAAAGAGAAUCACAGGACCACAGAGAACAUCUCCAACAGUUCCCAAAAACAUGCCAACACCACAGCGGGUCCAACACAACACUCCAGCCAUGAGGAAGAAUCCAGCUUUGUCUAGAAAUGGUAGAAGUGAUGCUGAAAUCAUGGAGCUAAAUCAACAGUUGAUGGAGUUGAAGUUGACUGUGGAUGGACUAGAGAAGGAGAAAGACUUCUACUUCAGUAAACUACGGGACAUUGAGCUCAUCUGCCAAGAACACGAGAGCGAAAACAACGCCAUCCUCAGCAGGAUAAUCGACAUACUCUACGCAACAGAGCAACGCACGACCGACGCCAGUGACUUCAGCACGAGUAAGACAGAGAACGGAGCCGAGCCUGGUGGUUGUAAGGACAUAAAAGUGAAGUAUGUAAAUAUUGAUGGCAGGUUGGUUUCAGUAAGAGAGCAACGUCUUUGCUCAUUAUGGAGUUAUUUAUUUGCCUUUUGGUGCGCUGUUAGAUGAAAGCACAGACCACCGCUGCUUCAAUGUGCCAUCAGGACACUCACAGAGCUACUAAAACUGUAAGGAGAAGUGACUUUUUGCAAAUUUAUUUAUUUAACUUAUGUUUCACUUCACUCUCUGUAGCAAAAUUAGUGCAAAACCUACUGUACAUGAACACUGAGGCUCCAUGUGACACUUUAGUUAUCUUUCAUGCUUGAGUCCGCAUCAAGCUUCAGAUUUUAAUUUAUGGAGGUUCAUGGCAUGUAGAUUCGCUGAAGGACUUAACGAGACGCGUCAGUGCUCUGCGAUUAUUCGUUAUUGAUCAGCAACGUGUCUGAGCAUGAGAAUGUUACACAUUGACUGUGAAUGAGUGAUAUUUUGUAAAUGUAUUUUAUGUGGAGAUUUUGUCUGAUGUCGCACGAUUCUGGUUAAUUGCUGUUGUAUCUUUUAGGCCGACACACAGUAGCCUAUAAUUUUAAACCACAGAGGUGGGAUGCCACCCAUAAACUGAAAACAUGGUUAUAGAUUGUAGCAGUUCUAAUGUUUUAUUCUAAAAUAUAUGGGAGCCUGACACUAAAUUAAUACAAGCUGUCACAUAUCAGCUUUAAUCAUACUUUACUGCUCAUCAUAUUGUGUUUACACUUUUCAUUUGUUGUUAAGGGUUGUGCAGCUAAUGUACUGAAGGUUGAAGUUCUUGACUGAAAAUAAGAAUGUCAGUGUUAAAGGCUCUGUGGCCAGUUUAGAACAUUACUGGCAGUCAUCAUUAUCCGGUUAAAUCUCCCAAGACCACCCCCAGCUGUUUUAACUUUACAAACUGGUUGAUGUCUGCUCUGGAACUCAUUUACUGACCAUCAAAACAUCUACAGACUGAGUUUUGAAUAAAUAAACCAAACAGUUGUGAAAUAAAAA
Molecule: RNA transcript, 2008 nt
Organism: Thalassophryne amazonica
Lineage: Eukaryota; Metazoa; Chordata; Actinopteri; Batrachoidiformes; Batrachoididae
Gene: mapre3a
Gene name: microtubule-associated protein, RP/EB family, member 3a
Exons: 9
Source: RefSeq, a predicted model, not a curated record